GGAUAACGUUUGGAAACGAACGCUAAUACCGCAUGAUAUUAUCUUAUCGCAUGAUAGGAUGAUCAAAGGAGUGAUCCGCUGAAAGAUGGGCUCGCGUCCGAUUAGGUAGUUGGUGAGGUAACGGCCCACCAAGCCGACGAUCGGUAGCCGGACUGAGAAGUUGGACGGCCACAUUGGGACUGAGACACGGCCCAGACUCCUACGGGAGGCAGCAGUAAGGGAUAUUGGUCAAUGGGGGAAACCCUGAACCAGCAACGCCGCGUGAGGGAAGACGGUUUUCGGAUUGUAAACCUCUGUCCUCUGUGAAGAUGAUGACGGUAGCAGAGGAGGAAGCUCCGGCUAACUACGUGCCAGCAGCCGCGGUAAUACGUAGGGAGCGAGCGUUGUCCGGAUUUACUGGGUGUAAAGGGUGCGUAGGCGGCUAUGCAAGUCAGUAGUGAAAUCCAUGGGCUUAACCCAUGAACUGCUAUUGAAACUGCACAGCUUGAGUGAAGUAGAGGUAGGCGGAAUUCCCGGUGUAGCGGUGAAAUGCGUAGAGAUCGGGAGGAACACCAGUGGCGAAGGCGGCCUACUGGGCUUUAACUGACGCUGAGGCACGAAAGCGUGGGUAGCAAACAGGAUUAGAUACCCUGGUAGUCCACGCUGUAAACGAUGAUUACUAGGUGUGGGGGGACUGAACCCUUCCGUGCCGGA
Molecule: ribosomal RNA, 693 nt
Filed under: uncultured bacterium
Lineage: Bacteria
Description: bacterial SSU rRNA
Rfam family: Bacterial small subunit ribosomal RNA
Source: RNAcentral